CCCACUAUGCCUGGCCGUAAACCAUAACUUACAUCCAAAUCGCCAGGGAAUUACGAGCUUAAAGCUUAAAACCCAAAGGACUUGACGGUGCCCCAUAUCCCCCUAGAGGAGCCUGUCCUAUAAUCGACAAUCCCCGUUUAACCUCACCACUUUUAGCCAAUCAGUCUGUAUACCUCCGUCGUCAGCUUACCACGUGAGCGACCAUAGUGAGCUUAGUGUCCAUCCGUCAAAACGUCAGGUCAAGGUGCAACUUAUAAAGUGGGAAGAGAUGGGCUACAUUCUCUAAUCUAGAGAAUACGGAAGACUACCUAUGAAACCUAGUCGGAAGGCGGAUUUAGAAGUAAAAAGAGAUAAGUAAAGCUCUUUUUAACCCGGCACUGGGGUGUGUACACACCGCCCGUCACCCUCCUCGAAGCCCAGAAAACAGUAUUUAACUCACUUAAGCAAAAUAGAAGAGGCAAGUCGUAACAUGGUAAGCGCACCGGAAGGUGCGCUUGGAAA
This 501-nucleotide ribosomal RNA is filed under the name Scinax insperatus. RNAcentral describes it as "partial 12S small subunit ribosomal RNA". It matches the Rfam family "Bacterial small subunit ribosomal RNA", at positions 786 to 1522 of the family's 1533-position model. Lineage: Eukaryota; Metazoa; Chordata; Amphibia; Anura; Hylidae. The record is from RNAcentral.